Xyrauchen texanus (razorback sucker) is the source of this 1247-nucleotide long non-coding RNA. RefSeq lists it as uncharacterized. NCBI's taxonomy places the organism in Eukaryota, Metazoa, Chordata, Actinopteri, Cypriniformes, Catostomidae. The transcript has 3 exons. The record is from RefSeq and is a predicted model, not a curated record.
CUUGGGACCACCCGUUGCACCGCUCAUCUCCCCAUAUAACCAGUAUGUUAUUUGUUUAGUCUUUGUAUAAACGACCAUCGAUAUAGAGCUUGUCAAUCGACAGCCUAGUUUUUUUUAUUGUUCUUUCUUUCCUCCGCCAUUAUGGGAUAUAGGAGCUUCCUCCGCUUUACUAUCUCUACGGGGAAUUGGUCACUGAUGGAAAAUUUGGACCCUUUAAGCUCCUUUCCUCUUCCCAUUACGACAAGUUUCUUUUUAAGGUCCACAAAUUUGGCCACCACCGGACCCUUUUUGUUUUGUCCAAACGGUGCACUCUAGAGAAGGCAAUGGUUUCAACCUCUCCAUCCCUCGUCCUGAGCUGCUGCUUCAAAAAAGUUUUUGUAAGAAGCUCUGUUACCUCGCAUGUCUCCCUCUCUUCUUCUGGAAUCCCGUGGAUUAUGAUGUUCUCCCUCAUACUUCGGCACUUAAGGCCAGAUAGUCGCUGCCAUUGAUGUACAUGUCUCUGUGAUGAGGAUCUGAGAAAAUACACCGUCACAUCACUGAAUGUUUCAACAUACACUGGAAUUUCUGAACAUGCCAAUGUGACAAUCAUUUGAAGAAAGAAACACCCACAUAAGAACGGCUGUGAUGAUACAGGAUAUGAAUGUCCAGCUCUUAAUGAAGGUCUGUUAAUGUGUUCCUCAGCACAACUAGAUCUGUUUACCAGCAAAACCCCUGAAGUGUGUUACCUCCAUACUGUCCCGACUGUGGUGAAGAGAGCGAUAUGAAAGAGUGCACAUUAUGGUCUGGAAGUGUGGACAGAAUUCCUCGACAUACCAGGCCACCUGCAGCACACACAGACAGAUGUCCUUGUGUUAAUGUUUACAAAGUCAACGUCACAUGUGAAAGAAAACUCAGACAAGUAAAUGCUAAAAUGAGCACAGUGUUAUCAAGAAUAAAUUAAAAAAAUGAAAACUGAACUAUUUACAAGCACAUUAUACGCAUGAGAAAUGCAGCGGUCAGUGAUCUUAUAAAUGUCUAGAUUUACAAGACAAUUAUGUAGGCCAAAAUACUUUCAAAACAGAUGAAUGAUUGUUUGUGUACAUUUUGUGUAAAAUAAAUAAAGCACAUAUAUAUAUAUAUAUAUUGUUAUAUAAUUUAUCAUCACUGAAAUGUAAAAAAAAAAAAACUGAUUUCAGACAGUUCUCGUGUACAGAUCUAACACACAGACCUUGCGAGUAACAGAUGAGGUGGACGCCGUCAGCUGCGUU